GUAAUAUAUCGGAACGUGCCCGAGUCGUGGGGGAUAACGUAGCGAAAGCUACGCUAAUACCGCAUACGAUCUAUGGAUGAAAGCGGGGGAUCGCAAGACCUCGCGCGAUUGGAGCGGCCGAUAUCAGAUUAGGUAGUUGGUGAGGUUAAAGGCUCACCAAGCCGACGAUCUGUAGCUGGUCUGAGAGGACGACCAGCCACACUGGGACUGAGACACGGCCCAGACUCCUACGGGAGGCAGCAGUGGGGAAUUUUGGACAAUGGGCGCAAGUCUGAUCCAGCAAUGCCGCGUGCAGGAUGAAGGCCUUCGGGUUGUAAACUGCUUUUGUACGGAACGAAACGGUGAGCUCUAAUACAGUUUGCUAAUGACGGUACCGUAAGAAUAAGCACCGGCUAACUACGUG
Molecule: ribosomal RNA, 403 nt
Filed under: uncultured bacterium
Lineage: Bacteria
Description: bacterial SSU rRNA
Rfam family: Bacterial small subunit ribosomal RNA
Source: RNAcentral